Molecule: long non-coding RNA, 2148 nt
Organism: Thunnus maccoyii (southern bluefin tuna)
Lineage: Eukaryota; Metazoa; Chordata; Actinopteri; Scombriformes; Scombridae
Exons: 2
Source: RefSeq, a predicted model, not a curated record
CACGAUUUUGCCUCUCUUCUCUUUCUGUCUGAGUCACAUCAGAACUAUUUACUAAUAAAAUUUCAGUAAUAAUGUUACAUUUACGGCAUGAUAAAUCUGUACCAGCCUGUUGACUCUGAUUCUGAACCUGAAAAGGAAGGCCUGGCUGAGGAUGACAAAUAAGUUACAUUUACUGACAUAACAGAGGCACUCUCCAAUUAAUGUGAUGAUCAGUUUUUUCUUCCUCCUCAUCACAGAUGUGCAUCACAUACAAUCAACCUUAUCUCGUCAAUGAUGCUGAAAAGUGGUUGUCAGCUAGUCCUAAUAUUAAAGCUAUCUGUAGAAGUGGUUUUGCCAAGAGCAAAGUACCCUGGACCAAGGCAAGCCACUCCAUAGUGGCUUCAGAGCUUGUGGAGGACGUCAGUCGAAGAAAGCUCCUGGUGACCACAUUCACAAGGUAGAAUUUUUCUAUGAAGCAGUGUCCCGAAUCACUGAGAUCCCCAUCAGUGACCUGAACGGCCUGUGUGUCAAACUGGGAAUAAAGGGCUUCACCGACAAGGAGUACCAAUUCCUAGGGGAGUAUUGUGUUGUCAUGAAGCCGCUUACUAUUGCCUUAGACAUCUUACAAGGGGAAUAUUACUGUUUCUAUGGCACUCUCCUACUGACCCUUGAAGUCUCUGAUGUCUAAGACACUUGCCCUGAAAGUCAGCCUUUCUAAGAUGACAGCUGGCCUACCUGAUGUUAUUGUACAGGCAAUCAAGGCCCGGUUUGCUGACACACUUGAUAGCAGAGAUGCACUUCUGGCUGCUGUAAGUUUGCAGAAAUUUAAACUGAGGUGGAUGAGAGAGGUGGUGAGGAGAGAACGCAUUAAAGAGCUGCUGAUGUUCAAGUGUUGCACACUGCUUCCUGACCCCAUGGACACCGUCCUGGCCACUUCCCCACCUGUGCCCAUGGCCAGAGUCAGAGGACAUCAACUCAGCAGACAAAGAAGUGAUGGACUAUUUGAGGGCAGGGCAGGGGAUAGAGACCCUCAAUCAGUUCCCAAAGAUCAAAAACAUUUUUAUGAAAGACAACACUCUCACUCCAUCCAGCUUGCCUGUGGAAAGACUAUUCAGCUUAGGGAGUUUGGUGCUUACUCCAAGAAGGAAUAGACUAUCAGAUAGAAGAUAUGAGAAGCUUCUCCUAAUGAGAUAUAAUCACCAUUUCAGUUGUGAGCAGUGAAAUAGGCUAGUGGUGAAGCAAUAGGCAAUAAAAUGGGUUCAGAUUAAGUGUUUAAGCAGGAAGGCAAAUAGCAUAUUGCCUAUUGAAUUUAACUUAAUUGAAAUCCUACCAUUUUGAUUUGUUCAUUGUCUUGUGUUUUCAGUUUUAAAAGGCGGUCAUACAGCAUGCACUACUAUUUUUAUAAGUGAAACUUGAGGCAGUGCUUUAUUUCAUUCAUGGACAUCCCAUUAAUUGUUGUCGCCAGAUAUAGACCCACUGUAUAAACUUAUUUGGUCAGUGGACUGUAUAAAUUAAGCUAUUCAUCUGUUUAAAUUGGGACCAGACAAUUGUGUUAGUAUUAACCCUCUAUAUUUCCUCAUUAAUACAGAAUGUUUUGUGCCUUGAUGCACUAUGAAAUAGCCUAGUAUAGGUCUAACGGUUUUAGCCUACAUUUUAAGUUAAAUUAUUUCUGUUAUUAUUGUCAGGUUAAUGUUGCAGGGCAAUUGUGACAAACUUAGCAUGCAAACAUGUACAUUUGUGUAUUGAUAGAAAUGUGUUGGUACUUGUUGGCCUCUUUUUCAUCCUGCCGAUGUGUGUUUGGGUCUACCCGUUUGAGCGUUUUAAAGAUUUUAUUUUGGUCUUAACUGCAUUAUGAAAUAACAGAAGUUGUUCAAAAGAUUGUGUCUCAUCAUCAGUUUGAGCCAGUUGUGCUUUUCAUCUAGCCAGGAACCAAACUUUUACGGAUUCAUAGGCUGCAGAAAAAAAACUGCUAGUCUGAAGCCUUAGCUGCACUUGCUAGCAAUUACCCUGACAUUUACACAGAGGUGCACAUGUGAAGUCUGAAUUUUGAGGAGAAAAGAUGCAAUUAGCAAUUUUGUGGGGUGUAAUGGAAAAGUAAUAUAAUGAGUAGUGUAAUGAAUUACUGUUUGCAGGGAGUAAUAAAUAAAGUAAUAAUUUUUGAUAGCAGCA